AUUGAACGCUGGCGGCAGGCUUAACACAUGCAAGUCGAGCGAGCGGCGGACGGGUGAGUAAUGUCUGGGAAACUGCUUGAUGGAGGGGGAAAACUACUGGAAACGGUAGCUAAUACCGCAUACCAUCAGAUGUGCCCAGAUGGGAUUAGCUAGUAGGUGGGGUAAUGGCUCACCUAGGCGACGAUCCCUAGCUGGUCUGAGAGGAUAACAAGCAACCCUGGAACUGAGACACGGUACAUACUCCUACGGGAGGAAGCAGUGGGGAAUAUUGCACAAUGGGCGCAAGCCGGAUGCAGCCAUGCCGCGUGUGUGAAGAAGGCCUUCGGGUUGUAAAGCACUUUCAGCGAGGAGGCGGUACUCGCAGAAGAAGCACCGGCUAACUCCGUGCCAGAAGCCGCGGUAAUAC
This 406-nucleotide ribosomal RNA is filed under the name uncultured bacterium. RNAcentral describes it as "partial 16S ribosomal RNA". It matches the Rfam family "Bacterial small subunit ribosomal RNA", at positions 30 to 526 of the family's 1533-position model. The record is from RNAcentral.